UAAAAAAGCAAAAAAUUCUCUCAUAUUUACUCAUAUUUUUACCUUUCCUGUAGUCUUCAUCCCUUUUUGCAGAUCUGAGUUUCCAUUGUCAUUUUCCUUUCUCUUGAAGAACUUUUAACAUCUCAUAUAGUGUCUGUCUGCUUACAAAGAAUUUUCUCAGAUUCUGAAGAUGUCUUCGUUUUGCCUUCAUUUGUAAAGGAUAUUUUCACUGGAUAUAGAAUUUCUUCUGGAAUUUUUUUCACACGCCCUUAUCUCCAACUGACUUGUCAACCCAGUAAGACUGCCAUUUGCAUGUUAACCUCUAUCUUUGUAUAGCAGUGACUGAGCAGCACUCUUAGGAGAAAAGCUAGAUGCUCAAUACAGACCUGAGCAGAAUCUUGGAAAGCCCAGAGAUCCAAAGAACCCUCCGAGCACUACGCAAGAAAAUUCAUCGCAAAGUCAUAAAGAACAAUCCCCUGACAAACCUGAGAAUCAUGUUGAAGCUAAACCCAUGUGCAAAGACCGUGCAUCAGAACACCAGUCUUCUCCAGGCCAAAUCAGAUGAGAAGGGGGUUCCAGGCAUGAAGCCUGUGGU
Molecule: long non-coding RNA, 574 nt
Organism: Myotis brandtii (Brandt's bat)
Lineage: Eukaryota; Metazoa; Chordata; Mammalia; Chiroptera; Vespertilionidae
Exons: 2
Source: RefSeq, a predicted model, not a curated record